CCAGCUACCAAACCUCCUGCAGAAUCACCCAAACAAGGAACUCCAGAGACACCAAUCCCUGCUCUUGCUACUGGAGGCUCCGUGGAGUGGCCUGUGGAUGCGUGCCUAAGGUACAUCUUCUCUAAACAAACUUGUAACUUCAUCCUUGACCAUCAAACUCUUGAAAAGAGAUCAAAAGAUCUCCAGAAAACCCCACGAACAGCAUGCCUCUUGCAGGAACCCCAGCUCCCAAAAAGAAGAGAAA
Python bivittatus (Burmese python) is the source of this 244-nucleotide non-coding RNA. The record is from RefSeq and is a predicted model, not a curated record. Lineage: Eukaryota; Metazoa; Chordata; Lepidosauria; Squamata; Pythonidae.